GAUGAACGCUGGCGGCGUGCCUAAUACAUGCAAGUCGAGCGAACAGACGAGGAGCUUGCUCCUCUGACGUUAGCGGCGGACGGGUGAGUAACACGUGGAUAACCUACCUAUAAGACUGGGAUAACUUCGGGAAACCGGAGCUAAAACCGGAUAAUAUAUUGAACCGCAUGGUUCAAUAGUGAAAGACGGUUUUGCUGUCACUUAUAGAUGGAUCCGCGCCGCAUUAGCUAGUUGGUAAGGUAACGGCUUACCAAGGCAACGAUGCGUAGCCGACCUGAGAGGGUGAUCGGCCACACUGGAACUGAGACACGGUCCAGACUCCUACGGGAGGCAGCAGUAGGGAAGCUUCCGCAAUGGGCGAAAGCCUGACGGAGCAACGCCGCGUGAGUGAUGAAGGUCUUCGGAUCGUAAAACUCUGUUAUUAGGGAAGAACAAAUGUGUAAGUAACUAUGCACGUCUUGACGGUACCUAAUCAGAAAGCCACGGCUAACUACGUG
RNAcentral lists this ribosomal RNA (497 nucleotides) under uncultured bacterium. Its description in RNAcentral is "partial 16S ribosomal RNA". It matches the Rfam family "Bacterial small subunit ribosomal RNA", at positions 28 to 507 of the family's 1533-position model. The record is from RNAcentral.